CGAACGGGUGAGUAACGCGUGAGGAACCUGCCUCAAAGAGGGGGGAAACAGUUGGAAACGACUGCUAAUACCGCAUAAGCCCACGACCUGGCAUCGGGUUGAGGGAAAAGGAGCAAUCCGCUUUGAGAUGGCCUCGCGUCCGAUUAGCUAGUUGGUGAGGUAACGGCCCACCAAGGCAACGAUCGGUAGCCGGACUGAGAGGUUGAACGGCCACAUUGGGACUGAGACACGGCCCAG
This 237-nucleotide ribosomal RNA is filed under the name uncultured bacterium. RNAcentral's name for it is "partial 16S ribosomal RNA". It matches the Rfam family "Bacterial small subunit ribosomal RNA", at positions 99 to 334 of the family's 1533-position model. The record is from RNAcentral.